This 487-nucleotide ribosomal RNA is filed under the name uncultured Pichia. RNAcentral's name for it is "eukaryotic LSU rRNA". It matches the Rfam family "Eukaryotic large subunit ribosomal RNA", at positions 64 to 563 of the family's 3401-position model. The record is from RNAcentral. Lineage: Eukaryota; Fungi; Ascomycota; Saccharomycetes; Saccharomycetales; Saccharomycetaceae.
ACCAACAGGAUUGCCUCAGUAGCGGCGAGUGAAGCGGCAAGAGCUCAGAUUUGAAAUCGUGCUUUGCGGCACGAGUUGUAGAUUGCAGGUUGGAGUCUGUGUGGAAGGCGGUGUCCAAGUCCCUUGGAACAGGGCGCCCAGGAGGGUGAGAGCCCCGUGGGAUGCCGGCGGAAGCAAUGAGGCCCUUCUGACGAGUCGAGUUGUUUGGGAAUGCAGCUCCAAGCGGGUGGUAAAUUCCAUCUAAGGCUAAAUACUGGCGAGAGACCGAUAGCGAACAAGUACUGUGAAGGAAAGAUGAAAAGCACUUUGAAAAGAGAGUGAAACAGCACGUGAAAUUGUUGAAAGGGAAGGGUAUUGCGCCCGACAUGGGGAUUGCGCACCGCUGCCUCUCGUGGGCGGCGCUCUGGGCUUUCCCUGGGCCAGCAUCGGUUCUUGCUGCAGGAGAAGGGGUUCUGGAACGUGGCUCUUCGGAGUGUUAUAGCCAGGG